RNAcentral lists this transfer RNA (67 nucleotides) under Heterocarpus ensifer. Its description in RNAcentral is "tRNA-Met". The record is from RNAcentral. Lineage: Eukaryota; Metazoa; Arthropoda; Malacostraca; Decapoda; Pandalidae. RNAcentral also lists the same sequence under 1 other name.
UAAAAAGAUAAGCUAAACUAAGCUUAUGGGCUCAUACCCCGUCUAUGAAGGCACCUUCUCUUUUUAA